This 73-nucleotide transfer RNA is filed under the name Stegodyphus mimosarum. It matches the Rfam family "tRNA". From Rfam's summary of the family: Transfer RNA (tRNA) molecules are approximately 80 nucleotides in length. Their secondary structure includes four short double-helical elements and three loops (D, anti-codon, and T loops). The record is from Rfam by way of RNAcentral. Lineage: Eukaryota; Metazoa; Arthropoda; Arachnida; Araneae; Eresidae.
GCCUUCGCUGUGUAGUGGUCAGCACAUUUGUCCCGUAUUCGAGAAGUCCCUGGUUCGAGUCCUGGCGAAGGCA